GACGUAGGAGGCGAGCGUUAUCCGGAUUCACUGGGCGUAAAGCGCAUGUAGGCGGAUGUCUAAGUCGUGUGUUAAAGCCCCUGGCUCAACUGGGGGAGGUCACGCGAGACUGGAUGACUUGAGGGCAACAGAGGCACGUGGAACUCCCGGUGUAGCGGUGGAAUGCGUAGAGAUCGGGAAGAACACCCGUGGCGAAGGCGGCGUGCUGGGUUGCAACUGACGCUGAGAUGCGAAAGUGUGGGGAGCAAACGGG
This 253-nucleotide ribosomal RNA is filed under the name uncultured bacterium. RNAcentral describes it as "partial 16S ribosomal RNA". It matches the Rfam family "Bacterial small subunit ribosomal RNA", at positions 524 to 776 of the family's 1533-position model. The record is from RNAcentral.